AUGUGUCCAACUGUCCUUCCAGCAGGUUUAUCUCUGGGGGUUCAGGUCCAUCAGUCUCCCUCUGCUGCGAUCAGAAAGGCCGGGGAUGGCGUGCAGCUCGUCUGCACUCACGGACAACCUGACUACACCGUGAUGCUGUGGUACCAGCAGUCACCUGGAGACACGGCUCUGAAACUCAUCGGAUAUGUAGAAUAUAGUACGAUAAGCUAUGAAGAAUCGUAUAAAGGGCAUUUCAAUAUCACCGGAGAUCUAAGUGGAAACACAGCAAAGAAUGUCUCCCUGUUCAUAGUGGACCUAAAAGAGCCGGAGCACAGUGCAACGUACUACUGUGCAGCUCGAUAUACACGUUGA
Molecule: non-coding RNA, 351 nt
Organism: Perca flavescens (yellow perch)
Lineage: Eukaryota; Metazoa; Chordata; Actinopteri; Perciformes; Percidae
Source: the annotation of a RefSeq genome assembly